CUGGAUCCAAAAUCAUGGAGAAUGGAAGCAGUUCGUACGCCAUAGAGUAAAUCAAAUUUUAGCAUUGACAAACAAGGGGGAUUGGAGCCAUUGCCCAGGUGUGGAAAACCCUGCAGACUUGGGAAGUAGGGGAAUACUGGCAUCUAAAUUACAGGAAAACCCUCUCUGGUGGGAUGGCCCUCAAUGGUUAAGUAGUGUAGAUAGAGCAUGACCAAAUUCUAAAAUUGAUUCGACAGAAGAGAGUAGGGAGGAAGAGAAGAAAGCAACAGUGUUAGUUGCGAAUGUACACGAAGUUGUUGGUAUAGAUAAAGUGAUAUGUAUUGAGAAGUUUAGUUCUGUAGAAAAGUUGUUUCGAGUAACAGCCUGGGUUACUCGAUAUGUCCAAAUAUUGAUUUCAAAGGUUAAGGGGAAUGAGAGCGCCCCAACGUCAGGUAAAUUAGAACGAGAGGAGCUACUGAGAGCAGAAAAGCUUUGGAUAAAAGCUACGCAAAUGCAGUUAAAAAAGGAAGAAAAUUACAAGCAAUUAGAAAGCCAGUUGAAGUUAGUUGAAGAAGAUAGAAUCUUAAGAUGUAGAGGAAGAUUCACAGAGUCAGAUCUAGAUGUAGAUGCAAAAUACCCAAUCUUGUUGCCAAAGGAAGGUAAGUUAACUGAAUUGAUAAUUGUCCAUUGUCAUAAUAAGGUACACCAUAGUGGGGUUAGAGCGACAUUAGCAGAAGUAAGGUCGCGUUUUUGGAUCCCAAAGGGUAGGCAAAGGGUUAAGGGCAUAUUAAACAGAUGCACCGUUUGUAAGAGAUUGGAAGGGAAACCCUACAAUGCACCGAAAGAAGCUGAUCUUCCCGGAUUUAGGGUAAGGGAAACUGAACCUUUCGCGAAAACAGGGGUCGAUUUUGCCGGUCCAUUGUACGUUAAGAACGCCACCAACGGAACCAAUAAAGUUUAUAUCGCGUUAUUUUCGUGUUGUGUGAGUAGAGCAUUACAUUUAGAUUUGGUAAGAGAUUUGUCGACACAAGAGUUUUUACGAUGUUUAAGACGAUUUUCGGCACGUAGGGGAACUCCAGCACUUAUAGUUUCGGACAAUGCAAAAACAUUUAAGGCCUCCGCCAAAGCUUUGAAAAAAAUGUACAACUGUGAAACUUUACAAGGAUAUUUAGUUGCUAAAAGGAUUGAGUGGAAGUUUAAUUUGGAUAGAACUCCCUUGUGGGGUGGAUUUUUCGAAAGGAUGGUGCAGUCGGUUAAAAGGUGUUUGAGGAAGGUGCUGGGGAAUGCGAGGUUGACGUUUGACGAGUUGUUGACUACAUUAGUGGAGGUUGAGGGUACAUUGAACUCGAGGCCACUGACGUAUGCAUAUGAUGAAGUUGGAAGUGAACCGUUGACGCCUUCGCAUUUGAUGGUUGGUAGAAGGUUGAUGUCGAUGCCGGACGGAGUGGUUAGUGACGAGUCGGACGAAAAUUACUGUAACAGACGGUUUCAGUACUUGUGUAAGAAAAAGCAACAUUUUUGGAAUAGGUGGCGUAGGGAGUAUCUUGCUGAUUUGAGAGAAUUCCAUAGAGGGAAGCGAGAAAAUAGUAAAAGGGUUGUUGAGAAGGGUGAUGUUGUGAUUGUGUAUGAGGAUAAUGUGAAAAGGGGAAAAUGGAAGAUGGGUGAAGUUGAGGAGUUGGUUGUAGGAAGAGACGGUGUGGUUAGAGGUGCUAAGGUCAGGUUGGUCAGAGAGAACAUUAUUUGUAUCAUUAAACGCGAUACAGGACACUAUAAAAUUGCAUCGUAAUGGGAACACCUAGAAUCCCACAUUAGAACGUCACGGACAUGACUUGCAUGGG
Molecule: non-coding RNA, 1817 nt
Organism: Paramuricea clavata
Lineage: Eukaryota; Metazoa; Cnidaria; Anthozoa; Malacalcyonacea; Plexauridae
Source: the annotation of a GenBank genome assembly